This 524-nucleotide ribosomal RNA is filed under the name uncultured bacterium. RNAcentral's name for it is "bacterial SSU rRNA". It matches the Rfam family "Bacterial small subunit ribosomal RNA", at positions 138 to 677 of the family's 1533-position model. The record is from RNAcentral.
GGGGGACAACAGUUGGAAACGACUGCUAAUACCGCAUGAUGUAUCUGGAAGGCAUCUUCCGGAUACCAAAGAUUUAUCGCUGUGGGAUGGGCUCAUGUCUGAUUAGUUAGUUGGUGGGGUAACGGCCUACCAAGACUGCGAUCAGUAGCCGGACUGAGAGGUUGAACGGCCACAUUGGGACUGAGAUACGGCCCAGACUCCUACGGGAGGCAGCAGUGGGGAAUAUUGGGCAAUGGGCGAAAGCCUGACCCAGCAACGCCGCGUGAAGGAAGAAGGCCUUCGGAUUGUAAACUUCUUUUAUGAGGGACGAAGGAAGUGACGGUACCUCAUGAAUAAGCCACGGCUAACUACGUGCCAGCAGCCGCGGUAAUACGUAGGUGGCAAGCGUUGUCCGGAUUUACUGGGUGUAAAGGGCGCGUAGGCGGGAUGGCAAGUCAGAUGUGAAAUCCAUGGGCUCAACCCAUGAACUGCAUUUGAAACUGUCGUUCUUGAGUAUCGGAGAGGCAAGCGGAAUUCCUAGUGUA